CUGUCUUUCGGCUUUUUCUCUCUCUCGACCUCUCUUCGUGCUAGGGUUUCCGCCCGCCACUCGCGUAGCCCCAGCCGCCACCGGGCUUCUUCUUCCCCACAAUAGCUCCUUGCCACUGCCCCCUGUCAGAUCCGAUAGCAACUCCGAGGUAAUUUGUUGCCCCAUUCUCCUCAAUAGGCAGUCGACCCACCGAUUCCGCUACCCCGAAUUCCAGUAGGAGCAUGAGCAACGGUGGAAGGACGACCCCGACGCCUUGGACCAGGUCGUGACACCGGAAGUCGGAGGUGGAGGCAAUUGCCAGAAGACUUCGAGCAGCGGCGACGGAAAAUUUUGUGCGGCUGUUGCGUGGGGAAGAAGAGGUACGGCAUUGGGAGAAGGUAGAUGGGCGGGAAUUGCAGAAGCUCGCGGCCAUGGGGAGGUUGGUUGUGGUGUGUUGGGUGUAGUGGGGUCGGAGUUCCAGGGCUUCCUCGAGCUCCCUGUCAAGUUCGUGGUGGAGAUUUGUCAUUACCACACCAGUGCGAGGAGGAUGACCCCCCGCGUCUGCAUCGAUCGUUACACACAGCCAUCAAUUGAUUUCUUUCAUGUUGCUUGAUGCAGGAUAAUUCCCUUGAUUGGCGGCCGUUUGUGUAUUCCUGAAUUUCUAAUUGCCUGCUAUUCCCCAUUCCAACUACAUAAGGUUACGGCGGUCUUCUUGCGGAGGGGGAGCUUUCGGUGGUUGGGCUCCGUCUGAUGCAUCGGUCUUCUCCGGUCUGCUUGGUUGGUGGCGUCUUUUGGCUGCUGGGCUUCGUUGGUCUGCUCGCCUUCCUGCGCUCGAACUAAGAGGAGAGAUGAGACCAGGAGGAGCUCCCUUUUUAUUCUAAAAAGAAAGAUGAAUGCCGCUUCUCCACCACAAACAUAUUGGUUAUCAGCCUUCAGUCUGAAGUACGAGUUUAUACUGUUUGCAUAGUACUGAAGUCAAACUCCAUGUCCGAGCCAUAUUGCUGUUAGUGUUCAUUUCUAGGCAAUGAUUUCUUCGAAGCCAGUCUAGAAAAACAUUUCAAGUUUAAGUAACACAGGAAUGUCUUGGCCUCUUGGGCUUGUGGACAACAUAAGUCCAGUACGUAUUGGCCGCAGUGCUAUUCACUAAUUGACUAUGGUUAUUGUUCUCUUAUUACCUUAAACAGACGUAGUAAUACAUGAAGGAUUGUUUCGCUCUUCAGAAACUGUACAUUCACUCAUUCAGUAGACUCUUCUUUCCAAGUGAACAUAGUUUCAUGGAUUAUCUUGGCUCCUACCACCAUCACCUAAUAUAGAAGGAAAUUUACUAACACCUUCUCUACCCACUUCUCCUUUUGGUGGCUAUAUCGAAUCCAUAUUACACGCUUGCUUCAUCGACCUUACUUGGACUGACUCCUAAGUGUAGUGAAAUGAAAAAUAAUCUGACAUUACUUGGAUCGACUCCUAAGUGCACUCAAAUAAGAAGUAAUCUGACCUUACUUAUGAUCCUGCCAUGAUAUAUAUUGGCUGAGUAGAGAACUAGCUAGCACUAUACCAUGGUUGCAUCUUAAUAGUUUAUUACUAACUAUGUGGAUUUUUUUUUUCAUUCCUGCUGGUACUGCUUGCCCUGAAGAACAUGUUAAUAAAAUUCAGUUUCAAUAGACUUAUUUUCUGAAGGUAUAAUAUUGUAUACAUGCCAAUAAGAUCAUUAUAUUUUCCAGUAUCAUGCAUUUGUUCUUUUAGAUCACAGGACAAGUGUGGAGCGAUUCAUUUUUCUGGGAGUUUCUGUGACUGAUAGA
Long non-coding RNA from Triticum dicoccoides, 1775 nucleotides. RefSeq lists it as uncharacterized. The transcript is spliced from 6 exons. The record is from RefSeq and is a predicted model, not a curated record. Lineage: Eukaryota; Viridiplantae; Streptophyta; Magnoliopsida; Poales; Poaceae.